This 448-nucleotide ribosomal RNA is filed under the name bacterium VCD1005. RNAcentral's name for it is "bacterial SSU rRNA". It matches the Rfam family "Bacterial small subunit ribosomal RNA", at positions 28 to 459 of the family's 1533-position model. The record is from RNAcentral.
GAUGAACGCGGCGGCGUGCUUAACACAUGCAAGUCGAACGAAGCAGUUUAUUACGAUCCCUUCGGGGUGACGAUUUAUGGAUUGAGUGGCGGACGGGUGAGUAACGCGUGGGUAACCUACCUUGUACAGGGGGACAACAGUUGGAAACGACUGCUAAUACCGCAUAAGCGCACAGCAUCGCAUGAAGCAGUGUGAAAAGUUUUUUCGGUACAAGAUGGACCCGCGUCUGAUUAGCUAGUUGGUGAGGUAACGGCUCACCAAGGCGACGAUCAGUAGCCGACCUGAGAGGGUGACCGGCCACAUUGGGACUGAGACACGGCCCAAACUCCUACGGGAGGCAGCAGUGGGGAAUAUUGCACAAUGGGCGCAAGCCUGAUGCAGCGACGCCGCGUGAGCGAAGAAGUAUUUCGGUAUGUAAAGCUCUAUCAGCAGGAAGAUAAUGACGUAC